UGAAAUUUGGAACCGAGGUAGCUUGCGUCCCUGUAAUUGACAUAGGCAUUUUAUCCCGGAAAAUCAAACAUUCCCACGGGAUUUCGAAGAACCUAAAUCCACGCGGACGAAGUCGCGGGCAUCAUCUAGUCAUUUAUAUAGAUUUGAAGUAAUGGACUAUUAUUUUAUGGUAUUGGUAGACCUAUAAUUUAAUUUUCGUUAAGGAAACGGGCUAUAAUAUCAUAUAUUGUUAUACACAAAACUAUAGUUAAAAACUUAUUUAAUUUAACAAAAUGAUGUUCUCUUAACUAAGUAAAUGAACAAAAACAGUGCUAACUUUUUCAUACUGAUUCUCUGCAGAAAUGCUCUUUAGACCUAAAAGUUCGAGUUCAUAGUUUUGUGUAGAACAUUCGGUUAUUGAUUUAAACUGAUGUUAUAAAUAAAGUUAUUUAUUCCUGAAA
Long non-coding RNA from Maniola jurtina (meadow brown), 440 nucleotides. RefSeq lists it as uncharacterized. The record is from RefSeq and is a predicted model, not a curated record. The transcript is spliced from 2 exons. Lineage: Eukaryota; Metazoa; Arthropoda; Insecta; Lepidoptera; Nymphalidae.